This 375-nucleotide ribosomal RNA is filed under the name uncultured organism. RNAcentral's name for it is "partial 16S ribosomal RNA". It matches the Rfam family "Bacterial small subunit ribosomal RNA", at positions 527 to 896 of the family's 1533-position model. The record is from RNAcentral.
GUAGGUGGCAAGCGUUGUCCGGGAAUUAUUGGGGCGUAAAGCGCGCGCAGGCGGUUCUUUAAGUCUGAUGUGAAAGCCCACGGGCUCAACCGUGGAGGGUCAUUGGAAACUGGAGAACUUGAGUACAGAAGAGGAAAGCGGAAUUCCACGUGUAGCGGUGAAAUGCGUAGAGAUGUGGAGGAACACCAGUGGCGAAGGCGGCUUUCUGGUCUGUAACUGACGCUGAGGCGCGAAAGCGUGGGGAGCAAACAGGAUUAGAUACCCUGGUAGUCCACGCCGUAAACGAUGAGUGCUAAGUGUUAGGGGGUUUCCGCCCCUUAGUGCUGCAGCUAACGCAUUAAGCACUCCGCCUUGGGAGUACGGCCGCAAAGGCUG